This 911-nucleotide ribosomal RNA is filed under the name Didymella coffeae-arabicae. RNAcentral's name for it is "LSU rRNA". It matches the Rfam family "Eukaryotic large subunit ribosomal RNA", at positions 36 to 964 of the family's 3401-position model. The record is from RNAcentral. Lineage: Eukaryota; Fungi; Ascomycota; Dothideomycetes; Pleosporales; Didymellaceae.
UAGCAUAUCAAUAAGCGGAGGAAAAGAAACCAACAGGGAUUGCCCUAGUAACGGCGAGUGAAGCGGCAACAGCUCAAAUUUGAAAUCUGGCGUCUUCGGCGUCCGAGUUGUAAUUUGCAGAGGGCGCUUUGGCAUUGGCAGCGGUCCAAGUUCCUUGGAACAGGACGUCACAGAGGGUGAGAAUCCCGUACGUGGUCGCUAGCCUUUACCGUGUAAAGCCCCUUCGACGAGUCGAGUUGUUUGGGAAUGGAGCUCUAAAUGGGAGGUAAAUUUCUUCUAAAGCUAAAUACUGGCCAGAGACCGAUAGCGCACAAGUAGAGUGAUCGAAAGAUGAAAAGCACUUUGGAAAGAGAGUUAAAAAGCACGUGAAAUUGUUGAAAGGGAAGCGCUUGCAGCCAGACUUGCCUGUAGUUGCUCAUCCGGGUUUCUACCCGGUGCACUCUUCUAUAGGCAGGCCAGCAUCAGUUUGGGCGGUUGGAUAAAGGUCUCUGUCAUGUACCUCUCUUCGGGGAGAACUUAUAGGGGAGACGACAUGCAACCAGCCUGGACUGAGGUCCGCGCAUCUGCUAGGAUGCUGGCGUAAUGGCUGUAAGCGGCCCGUCUUGAAACACGGACCAAGGAGUCUAACAUCUAUGCGAGUGUUUGGGUGUCAAGCCCGAGCCCGUAAUGAAAGUGAACGGAGGUGGGAACCUUUCGGGGUGCACCAUCGACCGAUCCUGAUGUCUUCGGAUGGAUUUGAGUAAGAGCAUAGCUGUUGGGACCCGAAAGAUGGUGAACUAUGCUUGAAUAGGGUGAAGCCAGAGGAAACUCUGGUGGGAGGCUCGCAGCGGUUCUGACGUGCAAAUCGAUCGUCAAAUUUGGGCAUAGGGGCGAAAGACUAAUCGAACUAUCUAGUAGCUGGUUCCUCCAAA